Molecule: non-coding RNA, 4679 nt
Organism: Heterocephalus glaber (naked mole-rat)
Lineage: Eukaryota; Metazoa; Chordata; Mammalia; Rodentia; Bathyergidae
Source: RefSeq, a predicted model, not a curated record
CGGAUUAUGAAUGACUGCUGGCGUGUUGUUUGCUACCCGAGCUGCCUGUUUCUCUCUCUAGCGGCUCUGGAAGCCAGGGCUCGGCUGGCAGCAGCUCCCCGGAGGAGCCCCAGAUCCCGGCUCGGGCUGGCGGGAGGACCCUCGCGGCCACCGUCGCCCUCCCGCACCCUCCCUGCCUGGCCGCGCUUCUGCGCCCAGUGCAGCACCUGCCAAGGCGGAGAGAGCGAAAGAUGUCACUUCUGUGCUGGCCAGGACUGUCCUACAGAAGCCCGGAGACCCGGAAGUUAUUCCCUAGUUCCUGCCUGCUUAAAGCUCAUGGCGUACAAUUAAUGAACUAAGGGCCUCCUCAGGGUACACAGAGAAGGAAAAAAUGGAAGAGGGAUUUCUUCCAUGAUAUUCACAGACUUUGAGCAAAAAUCACGUUCUCUCUUGAAAAAUUAAAGACACAGUGCAAGCCAAAAAAGGUGACUCAGUGAAAGAAAAUGAAAGGCAUUAAGAAAAGUCUUACAGAAGAAUACCUAUACCUGGACUUUUCUCACCAAACAGAAGGAUGCAUUCUUCCUCUUCAUACAUCCGCAACGUUAUUUCUGUUAUCAUACUGUGACUGCAGAAUCUUUAAAGUUUGCUUGGUCCUCACCAAAGAAGGCACAGGUAGCUCACCACUAAGAGAUGUGCUGUCCCAGGACAUUGAAAUCCAGGUUGUUUCACGGCGAGAGCUUCCUCCCAUAGCACAGAAUUGCUGUCUGCCUGCGGUAGUGGAACAGCCAGACAACUUCUGUAGAGCAGGACUUGCUGUUGUGCUGAGACACAUAAUCCAGAAAGUGCAUGAGACAGACCCCUCGAAGAAGGAACUUCUGGAGCUUCUGGGUUUUAAAAAGACUUGUUUGAAAGCCUGUGCUGAAGUCAGCCAGUGGACCAGGCUGUGUGAGCUCACCAUCCCUCUGGCUAUUGAGAAUUUCCUCAGGGAGUCUUUGGGGCAGACCCCAGCCAUCCCCGUGGAAAUCCUGGAGCUGGAGAAGAAGCUGAGCGAGCCGGUGAGAGUGCACAAUGAUGACAAACUCCGCAGGCAGAAGCUGAAGCAGCAGACUAGGGGACAAGGGAAGAGCCAAGUGCGUCCUCCGGAAGCCUCGGAAGAGUCAGACUCCGCAUCCCAGAGUCUGGAACUGAAAGUGGCUUUCUCCAAGCUCACUGUGCAGGAGGGGCCAGCUGCUACCAACAGGGAGCCUUCCCACAUCCGGAAAGCCAAAGCCACUGAGCUUCCUCCUCUGGAGCAUGUAUUUGCAGAAGGGCUUUUCUUCACCUUGGCAGAUAUCGUGCUCCUGCCCUGUAUCCACCACUUUCUGGUCAUUAUCUGCAAGAAAUUUUCUGAGAAGUUGACAGAAUUUCCAUUGUUAGCCUCUUGGUACCAGAGAAUUCAGGAAGUGCCAAGAGUGAAAACAGCAGCUUCCAAGUGUGGGAUCCACUUUGUCCAGUUACCAGAGCUGUCAUCCUCUCCGAAUGAACAUUGUCCGCACCUAAUUGAAGCCCCGGGUGGAGAGGAGCAGAAUGAUCCUUUAUUUACGGGAGGACCAAGACCAACGAUGACCAAGUUAAUGGAAAAAGGCAUUGAAGUGAUGUUUUCUCCCCACCCCUGCCCUACGUGGACCCUUGACUGGAAUGGUCUUCCUGCUGCAGUGAGCCCGAAGGAAGGCCGAAUGUCCAGUGACCGAGCUCUGAGGAAGCAGCAGCAGCUAAACAACCUUGUUUAUGUGGUGAUAAAUCAGGCCAAGCCCGGGGACAGAAUUGUGGAUUUCUGCAGCGGCGGGGGCCAUGUUGGAAUUGUUCUCGCUCACAUGCUGCCAUCGUGCCAGGUUAUAUUAAUAGAAAACAAGGAAUUAUCAUUAAUUCGUGCUAAGAAGAGAAGUGAUGAACUAGGUUUAAGCAACAUUUGGUUCAUUCAAGCAAAUAUGGAGUAUUUUGCAGGAAUGUUUAAUAUUGGGGUGGCCUUGCAUGCUUGUGGCGUGGCAACAGACAUGGUGAUUGAACACUGCAUCAAAACCCGGGCUUCCUUCGUCACCUGCCCCUGUUGUUACGGUUUCAUCCAGAACACUUCGAAGUUUAACUUUCCAAAAAGUGAACAAUUCAAGAAAACUUUAUCAUACAAGGUCCCAGCUGCCUGCACCAUAGACUGGCGCCCCUAGUCUGGAGCUGGGGCCGGCCAUGUCCCUGGCAGGUGUGAAAGCUCCACGACAGAACUGACUCCCAGAGCUCUCCGAGCACCCGGCGGCCUCAUUCAGCACCCUGCACCACUCACCUCCCGCUGCGCUGCGCCGCGCCUCGCUGAGCAAGGGCUGCGUAUAACAGGGCAUAAACAGGGCUAAAUACCACGUAAGAGAAAUACAUGCAUAAUCCCACUGAAACUUGAUAAAUUAGUGUGAAGUUUUGUUUUGGUCAAUUCCACUUAUUAUACAGACCCACUAAAAACAUAGUUUCAUUUUAGACCAGCCCCUCCAUUUUAUGAAUUUUGCCUUCUCCUCCUCACAGUGAAAUAAUGGAACACAGUGUCUUGUCGUGUUCUUUUUACCAACUCAGCGGCUGUACCCCAUCCCCUCUCCUUCCUGCCUCCUAAAGGGGACCCAGCUGCACCUUCCUCCUUUGAAUAUGCUGGACAUCUUAAGCAUGGCCACAUUCUAGGAAACUUAAGAUUUUUCGGGGAAACAUUAGGACCCCAGAAAGUUUAUUUGCAUAAGAUUCAAAAUACAGGACCUCUGCUUUCUUACAGGGCUCUGCCAAUGAAGUAGCAAAUAAAUUGGGAAAAGCAAAAACUAGAUCCCUCUUAAACAGUGAGAGAGGGUACGGGGAAACUCGGGCAGCGAGGAGAUGGGCCGCAGUCCUGCUGGCUGGAAAAGAGUGAAACUCCCUGAGACAGGGUGCGUGGCACAGACCGCUCCAGAGAGCAGCAGCUUCCCAGGGUCCCACUGGUACCUCCUCUUCCCCCUGCACCCCCAAAGCGGCUUUGCCCCGGCCCGCUUUGUGGAGAAGUCUCACUGCUCGGACCCUGUGGCAAGAUGACAUCUCACAAUUGCUCGCUUCAUUUAGCUCCAUCAAAAUAUGUGGCCUGGAGAGGGACAUGAGGCCCAAAUACCCUGAAGAACGCUUGGGAAAUGUUCUUCUCCACAGUUCAAUUUAGCCAGAAAUCUCUGCUGAGAACCUGCUGUGUGAGAUGCCCUCUCAAACUUAGCUUUGCAGAGAGAGAGCGUACACAUAAUUCUGAUAAAGCAGAGUAAGAGGAUUGCAGCGUGCCUGUAGUUGUGCCUGACCUCCCUUCCCACCUGAGAACCAUGGCUUAGAAGCACCGAGAGGACAGGACAUGCUUGUAUUCACCUUCUCGUCAAAUCGCAUUAUUCCGAGUUGUUCUUCUGCCCCCUUGUUGAGACUAGUUAGUCUGUGGGAAUUUAUAAAAGUUAUUCAUUCGAACCAUUUCAUUAAUUCCCUACCCUUUGCCAUUAGAUUUUAUAGUGAACAUUAUAAUUUUUUAAAUACAUAAAAGUUGAGACAAAUAUAUCCCCGCUUUAGAGAAUUGCCACAAUCCUGUCUCUUGCCGUAUUUGUAAAAGCAGAGGCUUCAGACUUCGUGCCCAGCAUGCUGAGGACGCCUGGUGUCUGAGUGCCCCCGUUUGCCCAGCCAGUGGGUGCUGAUGCCUGCACCCUCGGGCCCAUAACUGUUCUAGCCAGUAGUUGUCACGGGCCUGGCAGUCACUUUGGCUGUGCCCAGCCAUUCUCCUUGGGCUACUUGCAGAUUUAAGGUCAUCGACUUUGAUCCUUUAAGGCCUUUUUCUCCCCAUUAAUGAAAUCCUUCCUAAAACUGAUAGGCAGAAGUAAAAAACCUCCUUCCCUUUGCUGAGGUCUCCCCUGGGGUGGUCUUACAGCAGAGAGGGAGGGGCCACCCGGAGCCUUUGGAGGGAGGCUCAGAGAGCGCCAGGCUGCCCUCCGCUAAGGCCAGUCGCGGGAGCUUGGAGACAGCUCCUGAGCGCAGCCUGCGGGUCCCUGGGGCUGGUGGAGCCACAGCGGCCAACACCUGGCUUCCUUUUCCGCGUGUACGGGGAGCCACGUAGCAUGUCCUCUGGGAGCCCAGGCCAAGAGGCUCAAGUCAAUUUUAUAAAUGAAAAAUGAAGUGAGCUGUUGGUCUUUUAAUUGAACACGUGAUAACAUUUUGCCCCAUUCUGCCUAAAAGCAAUGGGGCAAUGUGACCCCAAGGGUUUCUGUGGGCUUCUUCUCCAGAACUACAGCUGAAAGCAGCGUGGUGAAGGGAAGAAGCUAUUGGGCACCAUCUUCUCAAACUGCAUUUUCCAAAAGCACUCUCUGUGUAGUGCUUUACUCAGUUAAACAAUGUGGAACUCCAGAAAAAGGGAAGUAGCUUUUUUUUCUCGGUUUUCAUUUGCUUGUACAACUUUGAAACAGAAGACUGAGAUAAACCCAUAUCCCAUUACCUUUUCUUUUAGGAACACAUGAUUCUGUGCAGAUUUGCAGAUCAGACAGCCGUCCAGCUCCCACCCCAGCGCAGGCUGACAGGAAAACAGUGCAUGUGCCUGGUGGAUUUGGACCGAGCGAGAGCUGCAGAAGAGCAUGGCUACUCUGUCCAAGUGAUAUCCAUGGAGCCGGAGAGCUGCUCCCCCAAAAAUAACAUGAUCGUGGGAGUCC